RNAcentral lists this ribosomal RNA (492 nucleotides) under uncultured bacterium. Its description in RNAcentral is "partial 16S ribosomal RNA". It matches the Rfam family "Bacterial small subunit ribosomal RNA", at positions 29 to 507 of the family's 1533-position model. The record is from RNAcentral.
AGUGAACGCUGGCGGUAGGCCUAACACAUGCAAGUCGAACGGCAGCACAGUAAGAGCUUGCUCUUACGGGUGGCGAGUGGCGGACGGGUGAGGAAUACAUCGGAAUCUACUUUUUCGUGGGGGAUAACGUAGGGAAACUUACGCUAAUACCGCAUACGACCUACGGGUGAAAGCAGGGGAUCUUCGGACCUUGCGCGAUUGAAUGAGCCGAUGUCGGAUUAGCUAGUUGGCGGGGUAAAGGCCCACCAAGGCGACGAUCCGUAGCUGGUCUGAGAGGAUGAUCAGCCACACUGGAACUGAGACACGGUCCAGACUCCUACGGGAGGCAGCAGUGGGGAAUAUUGGACAAUGGGCGCAAGCCUGCUCCAGCCAUACCGCGUGGGUGAAGAAGGCCUUCGGGUUGUAAAGCCCUUUUGUUGGUAAAGAAAAGCAGCAGGUUAAUACCCCGCUGUUCUGACGGUACCCAAAGAAUAAGCACCGGCUAACUUCGUG